Molecule: ribosomal RNA, 458 nt
Filed under: uncultured bacterium
Lineage: Bacteria
Description: partial 16S ribosomal RNA
Rfam family: Bacterial small subunit ribosomal RNA
Source: RNAcentral
GGUGAACGCUGGCGGCGUGCUUAAGACAUGCAAGUCGAACGGGCUCUUCGGAGCCAGUGGCGCACGGGUGAGUAACGCGUAACUGACCUACCCCAAAGUCGCGGAUAACGAUUCGAAAGAAUCGCUAAUACGUGAUGUGCUGUCAGAUCCUGUUCUGCCAGUAAAGAUUUAUUGCUUUGGGAUGGGGUUGCGUUCCAUCAGCUAGUUGGUGGGGUAAAGGCCCACUAAGGCGACGACGGAUCGCCGGCCUGAGAGGGUGGCCGGCCACAGGGGCACUGAGACACGGGUCCCACUCCUACGGGAGGCAGCAGUUAGGAAUCUUCCACAAUGGGCGAAAGCCUGAUGGAGCGACGCCGCGUGAGGGAUGAAGGUCUUCGGAUCGUAAACCUCUGAAUCAGGGACGAAAGACGCGAAAGCGGGAUAACGGUACCUGAGUAAUAGCACCGGCUAACUCCGUG